This 63-nucleotide transfer RNA is filed under the name Mantidae JZ-2017. RNAcentral's name for it is "tRNA-Gly". The record is from RNAcentral. Lineage: Eukaryota; Metazoa; Arthropoda; Insecta; Mantodea; Mantidae.
AUUUAUUUAGUAUAAAAAGUACCUUUGAUUUCCAAUCAAGUAGUCUAAACAUUAGAAUAAAUU